This 256-nucleotide ribosomal RNA is filed under the name uncultured archaeon. Its description in RNAcentral is "partial 16S ribosomal RNA". It matches the Rfam family "Bacterial small subunit ribosomal RNA", at positions 521 to 776 of the family's 1533-position model. The record is from RNAcentral.
UAAUACGUAGGGGGCAAGCGUUGUCCGGAAUUAUUGGGCGUAAAGGGCACGCAGGCGGUCUUCUAAGUCUGAUGUGAAAUCCCACGGCUUAACCGUGGUAGGUCAUUGGAAACUGGAGGACUUGAGUACAGAAGAGGAGAGUGGAAUUCCACGUGGAGCGGUGAAAUGCGUAGAUAUGUGGAGGAACACCAGUGGCGAAGGCGACUCUCUGGUCUGUAACUGACGCUGAGGUGCGAAAGCGUGGGUAGCGAACAGG